RNAcentral lists this ribosomal RNA (304 nucleotides) under uncultured Sphingomonadaceae bacterium. RNAcentral describes it as "bacterial SSU rRNA". It matches the Rfam family "Bacterial small subunit ribosomal RNA", at positions 1 to 337 of the family's 1533-position model. The record is from RNAcentral. Lineage: Bacteria; Pseudomonadati; Pseudomonadota; Alphaproteobacteria; Sphingomonadales; Sphingomonadaceae.
UAGUGAGUUUGAUCCUGGCUCAGAACGAACGCUGGCGGCAUGCUUAACACAUGCAAGUCGAACGAGACCUUCGGGUCUAGUGGCGCACGGGUGCGUAACGCGUGGGAAUCUGCCCUUAGGUACGGAAUAACUCAGAGAAAUUUGUGCUAAUACCGUAUGAUGUCGAAAGACCAAAGAUUUAUCGCCUAAGGAUGAGCCCGCGUAAGAUUAGCUUGUUGGUGAGGUAAAAGCUCACCAAGGCGACGAUCUUUAGCUGGUCUGAGAGGAUGAUCAGCCACACUGGGACUGAGACACGGCCCAGACU